This is an RNA transcript of Rhodamnia argentea, 2223 nucleotides long. It is a transcript of the gene named UBP1-associated protein 2B-like, with no coding region annotated. The transcript has 3 exons. The record is from RefSeq and is a predicted model, not a curated record. Lineage: Eukaryota; Viridiplantae; Streptophyta; Magnoliopsida; Myrtales; Myrtaceae.
CGUCGACGUCGCCGAAGCUCUCUCGAUCCAAUCAUUUGCUGAAUUCAGUCCCGAUUCCGCCAUCGCCAAACCCUAGCUAAGCUCCACCGAACCCCCAAUCCCCGAACCACCACCACCACCACCACCCCCCUUCCCGCCAUGGCCAAGAAGCGAAAGCUUCGAUCCUCCGACCCCUCCCCGGCCAAACCCGCCGAGCCUCAGGACCAGCAAGAGCCCUCUCAGGCCAGCCAGCCCGAGCCGGUCCCCGAGGAGACAGCGAAGCAAGAGCCGCAGAGCAUGGCCGUGGACGAUUCUGCGCAGGAGAAUCCGGCUUCGGAUGUCAAACCGCAGAUCGGAGAACCGGAGGCGGAGAAGGUACAAGGAAGGCCAGAAGCUGAGGAAGAAGAGCGGGAGCGGGAGCAGGAGCCGGAAGAGCGAAUUGAUUUAAAUGCGUCGAGCGGAGGCGGCGUCGCGUCGGAGCCGGCAGCAUCCCAGGCGAAUGGAGCUUCGGAGGAGAAUAAUGAAGAGGAGGAAGACGUGGGUGACGUGGACGACGAGCCUGUGGAGAAGCUUCUGGAGCCGUUCACUAAGGAGCAGCUGACUAUGGUUCUCAAGCAGGCCGUGGCUAAGUACCCCGACUUGAUUGAGAGCGUGAGAGGGGUGGCGGACGCGGAUCCUGCUCACAGGAAGAUCUUCGUGCACGGCCUUGGCUGGGACGCCACUGCCGAAUCCCUAAUUUCAGUUUUCGGGAAGUACGGGGAGAUCGAGGACUGCAAGGCGGUCACGGACAGGGUCUCCGGGAAGUCGAAGGGCUAUGCAUUCAUCCUGUUCAAGCAUCGGAGCGGCGCGCGGAGGGCUCUCAAGCAGCCGCAGAAGAAGAUUGGCAACCGCGUCACCUCAUGCCAGCUGGCGUCCACGGGCCCCGUCCCAGCCCCGCCUCCUAGCGCGCCUCCUGUUUCGGAGUACACCCAAAGGAAGAUCUUCGUGAGCAAUGUGUCAGCUGAGGUUGAUCCUGAGAAGCUAUUGGAGUUCUUUAAGCAGUUUGGGGAGGUUGAGGAUGGUCCUCUGGGGCUCGAUAAACAGACUGGUAAGCCGAAAGGUUUCGCGCUGUUUGUUUACAAGUCCGUUGAGAGUGCUAAGAAGGCUUUGGAGGAGCCGUACAAGACCUUCGAAGGAAUUACUUUGCACUGCCAAAAGGCAAUUGAUGGGCCAAAACCAGGUAAAACCUUCAGCGGGCAUCAACAGCAUCACCAAUACCACCAACCACAGUAUUCGCAUCCCAGGAAAGAGAAAAAUAAGUAUGCAGCUGGUGGUGGGUCGGCUCCAGGACAUUUGAUGGCGCCUGCGGGACCAGCCGUUGGGUUUAAUCCUGGCCCAGCGCAGGCAUUUAAUCCAGCACUUGGACAGGCCUUGACUGCUAUUCUUGCCACCCAAGGAGCUGGGUUGGGAAUUGGUAAUUUGCUGGGAGGUAUAGGAGCACCUCCGAUGAACCAAGGUGGCAUGCCCGGAGGAUAUGCUAGCCAACCUGCCGGAAGCUAUGGGAUGCAACCUGGGAUGCAAGGUGUUUAUCAGAAUCCACAGAUGGGUCAGGGGACUUCUGGUCGUCCUCCGCAGGGCGGUGGACCCCCAUACAUGGGACACUAGCUUGAUGGGGCUUCUCUUAGCAACCAUAGUGAUGCUAUGCUUCUGGAAGCAGAUCUGUCUCAGGGUUAUACAUACUGCAGAUGCUGCAGUUGAUAUGAGUAUUUUGAUAUGCUUGUUCCAAAUUGUGGAAGCUUGGCAAGAUUUGAUGUUCCCGUGGACUAUAUGUAGCUCUCCGACUCCGUAUCUCCGUUGCUCUGCACGACCUAUAUUAAGUUGUCUGACGUAAGGAGAAGACGGGGGAUGCAGUUGGUCAAAUUUGAUUUGACUUCGAGGACGUGAAUGGAGCAUGCGUAAGUUGCCAUAUUCUAAUCCUCUCUGGCCAAGUGCUGUCGGGUUUGUAGUGUCGAGAUUGGAGCUCCUUUGAUCAUUAUUAUGUGUCUAUUAGGAUUGAGAGGGGCACUGGUGCGAUCUUUCACCAGCCUAAAGAACUGAACUCGGAAAGUAGUAGUGGCACUGACGGCUUCGCAAAAUAGCAUCUCUGUCUGGUUCAUUAUCCUUGUUUUAAAUAACCGAGGAUAGAUUCUGUAUGUCCUGUGACCAAAACCUACAUUGUCUAAACUUACUGCAAUGAGUGCUAAUCUGAUAUGUCGCUUCGAGUCU